This 426-nucleotide ribosomal RNA is filed under the name uncultured prokaryote. RNAcentral's name for it is "bacterial SSU rRNA". It matches the Rfam family "Bacterial small subunit ribosomal RNA", at positions 40 to 455 of the family's 1533-position model. The record is from RNAcentral.
CGGUGCGCUUAAUGCAUGCAAGUCGAGGGAGAACCAGUCGUUCCGUAAGGUUCGGCUGGGGAAACCGGCGAACGGGUGCGUAACACGUGAGAAACCUGCCCCGAAGACCGGGAUAGCCCGGGGAAACCUGGAUUAAUACCGGAUACCCUCUUUGGACCACAUGGUCCGUUGAGGAAAUGGUCCGCCGCUUCGGGAUGGUCUCGCGGCCUAUCAGCUAGUUGGUGAGGUAAUGGCUCACCAAGGCAGAGACGGGUAGCUGGUCUGAGAGGACGAUCAGCCACACUGGGACUGAGACACGGCCCAGACUCCUACGGGAGGCAGCAGCAGGGAAUAUUGCACAAUGGGCGAAAGCCUGAUGCAGCGACACCGCGUGCGGGAUGGUAGGCCUUCGGGUUGUAAACCGCUUUCAGGAGGGACGAAAAGACG